UAUCUUAGUGGCGGACGGGUGAGUAACGCGUGGGUAACCUGCCCCAUACCGGGGGAUACCACCUGGAAACAGGUGCUAAUACCGCAUAAGCGCACGGAGCGCAUGCUCCUGUGUGAAAAACUCCGGUGGUAUGGGAUGGACCCGCCGUCUGAUUAGCCAGUUGGCAGGGUAACGGCCUACCAAAGCGACGAUCAGUAGCCGGCCUGAGAGGGCGGACGGCCACAUUGGGACUGAGACACGGCCCAAACUCCUACGGGAGGCAGCAG
RNAcentral lists this ribosomal RNA (266 nucleotides) under uncultured bacterium. RNAcentral describes it as "partial 16S ribosomal RNA". It matches the Rfam family "Bacterial small subunit ribosomal RNA", at positions 88 to 354 of the family's 1533-position model. The record is from RNAcentral.